Molecule: microRNA precursor, 59 nt
Filed under: Pan paniscus (pygmy chimpanzee)
Lineage: Eukaryota; Metazoa; Chordata; Mammalia; Primates; Hominidae
Also listed under: 1 other name
Description: microRNA ppa-mir-146b precursor
Gene: ppa-mir-146b
Rfam family: mir-146 microRNA precursor family
Source: miRBase by way of RNAcentral
UGAGAACUGAAUUCCAUAGGCUGUGAGCUCUAGCAAUGCCCUGUGGACUCAGUUCUGGU